AGUGAACGCUGGCGGUAGGCCUAACACAUGCAAGUCGAACGGCAGCACAGUAAGAGCUUGCUCUUACGGGUGGCGAGUGGCGGACGGGUGAGGAAUACAUCGGAAUCUACUUUUUCGUGGGGGAUAACGUAGGGAAACUUACGCUAAUACCGCAUACGACCUACGGGUGAAAGCAGGGGAUCUUCGGACCUUGCGCGAUUGAAUGAGCCGAUGUCGGAUUAGCUAGUUGGCGGGGUAAAGGCCCACCAAGGCGACGAUCCGUAGCUGGUCUGAGAGGAUGAUCAGCCACACUGGAACUGGGACACGGUCCAAACUCCUACGGGAGGCAGCAGUGGGGAAUAUUGGACAAUGGGCGCAAGCCUGGUCCAGCCAUACCGCGUGGGUGGAGGAGGCCUUCGGGUUGUAAAGCCCUUUUGUUGGGAAAGAAAAGCAGCAGGUUGAUACCCCGCUGUUCUGACGGUACCCAAAGAAUAUGCACCGGCUAACUUCGUG
Molecule: ribosomal RNA, 492 nt
Filed under: uncultured bacterium
Lineage: Bacteria
Description: partial 16S ribosomal RNA
Rfam family: Bacterial small subunit ribosomal RNA
Source: RNAcentral